This is a non-coding RNA of Chrysemys picta bellii (western painted turtle), 215 nucleotides long. The record is from RefSeq and is a predicted model, not a curated record. NCBI's taxonomy places the organism in Eukaryota, Metazoa, Chordata, Testudines, Emydidae.
GGGGGGCCUGUCAUGGGGGGGAAAGGGCCAUGAGUAUUGUGUAAAUUGGGGAUCUGAGUCCAGAACUGAGGGAAUGGGCUGUGGCAAGUACGCCCUGUUUGGUUUACAUGGUUACUGGUAAUGGUGGUGCCAGUGGGAGCAGAGGAUCUGCUUGCAUCCAUGAGGUACUUAAGAGGCUUUGGGAGGUGCAGUUUGUGAAAAAAAAUCGUGCGAGG